Molecule: ribosomal RNA, 270 nt
Filed under: uncultured archaeon
Lineage: Archaea
Description: partial 16S ribosomal RNA
Rfam family: Archaeal small subunit ribosomal RNA
Source: RNAcentral
CAGCACCUCAAGUGGUCAGGAUGAUUAUUGGGCCUAAAGCAUCCGUAGCCGGCGCUGUAAGUUUUCGGUUAAAUCUGUACGCUCAACGUACAGGCUGCCGGGAAUACUGCAGCGCUAGGGAGUGGGAGAGGUAGACGGUACUCGGUAGGAAGGGGUAAAAUCCUUUGAUCUAUUGAUGACCACCUGUGGCGAAGGCGGUCUACCAGAACACGUCCGACGGUGAGGGAUGAAAGCCAGGGGAGCGAACCGGAUUAGAGACCCGAGUAGUCC